This 208-nucleotide ribosomal RNA is filed under the name uncultured bacterium. RNAcentral's name for it is "partial 16S ribosomal RNA". It matches the Rfam family "Bacterial small subunit ribosomal RNA", at positions 335 to 541 of the family's 1533-position model. The record is from RNAcentral.
ACUCCUACGGGAGGCAGCAGUAGGGAAUAUUGGGCAAUGGGCGAGAGCCUGACCCAGCCAUGCCGCGUGCCGGAUGAAGGCCUUCUGGGUUGUAAACGGCUUUUCUCAGGGAAGAAAAAGGGUAUGCGUACCACACUGACGGUACCUGAGGAAUAAGCACCGGCUAACUCCGUGCCAGCAGCCGCGGUAAUACGGAGGGUGCAAGCGU